UUCAUGUAGCACAAGUAUCCAGGAG
Molecule: non-coding RNA, 25 nt
Filed under: Cricetulus griseus (Chinese hamster)
Lineage: Eukaryota; Metazoa; Chordata; Mammalia; Rodentia; Cricetidae
Source: RNAcentral